Molecule: long non-coding RNA, 421 nt
Organism: Arvicola amphibius (Eurasian water vole)
Lineage: Eukaryota; Metazoa; Chordata; Mammalia; Rodentia; Cricetidae
Exons: 3
Source: RefSeq, a predicted model, not a curated record
GCGUCCUAAUUAGCUGGAGACCGUCUCAGCACUUUCACUGUGCUUUGCCUCUGUAUAUUGAAACUACAGUUCUAUCUUUAAGACUUUAAAAAGCUUCAAACUUCAGGAUGCGUUUUUCUUGGCUGAAAUAUACCUCAGGAUUGGAUCAAGCUUUGGAUUUGCCUUUUCUAAGAUUACUCCUUGGAGCAAUAAUAUAUUUGACAUGGAAACAUUCCUCUCUGCAGAAGUAUCCUAGCUGUUAUGUGUGCUGCUCGAUGGACCAGUACGAUAAUAGACAUGAAGCACUUUGGAACCUGCAUGCAUUAGUAUUCAGGCAUUUGUACUGGCCUGACCUUGGGGUAUCGUCCUCAGCUGUAGCCACCAAGAGCACCUCCUGUGCACAUUCACUAGGUUCCCUUUUAAAAGGGCCCUCCCCCGCCCA